RNAcentral lists this ribosomal RNA (307 nucleotides) under uncultured bacterium. RNAcentral describes it as "bacterial SSU rRNA". It matches the Rfam family "Bacterial small subunit ribosomal RNA", at positions 28 to 334 of the family's 1533-position model. The record is from RNAcentral.
GACGAACGCUGGCGGCGUGCUUAACACAUGCAAGUCGAACGGAGUUAAGGAGCUUGCUUCUUAACUUAGUGGCGAACGGGUGAGUAACGCGUGAGGAACCUGCCUCUCAGUGGGGGACAACAGUUGGAAACGACUGCUAAUACCGCAUAAAACCGUAGUACCGCAUGGUACAUCGGUCAAAGAUUUAUUGCUGAGAGAUGGCCUCGCGUCUGAUUAGCUAGUUGGUAGGGUAACGGCCUACCAAGGCGACGAUCAGUAGCCGGACUGAGAGGUUGACCGGCCACAUUGGGACUGAGAUACGGCCCAG